This 457-nucleotide ribosomal RNA is filed under the name Fusarium sp. RBSV1. RNAcentral's name for it is "eukaryotic LSU rRNA". The stretch from base 103 to 256 matches the Rfam family "5.8S ribosomal RNA". Lineage: Eukaryota; Fungi; Ascomycota; Sordariomycetes; Hypocreales; Nectriaceae. The record is from RNAcentral.
UCGGCGGAUCAGCCCGCUCCCGGUAAAACGGGACGGCCCGCCAGAGGACCCCUAAACUCUGUUUCUAUAUGUAACUUCUGAGUAAAACCAUAAAUAAAUCAAAACUUUCAACAACGGAUCUCUUGGUUCUGGCAUCGAUGAAGAACGCAGCAAAAUGCGAUAAGUAAUGUGAAUUGCAGAAUUCAGUGAAUCAUCGAAUCUUUGAACGCACAUUGCGCCCGCCAGUAUUCUGGCGGGCAUGCCUGUUCGAGCGUCAUUUCAACCCUCAAGCACAGCUUGGUGUUGGGACUCGCGUUAAUUCGCGUUCCCCAAAUUGAUUGGCGGUCACGUCGAGCUUCCAUAGCGUAGUAGUAAAACCCUCGUUACUGGUAAUCGUCGCGGCCACGCCGUUAAACCCCAACUUCUGAAUGUUGACCUCGGAUCAGGUAGGAAUACCCGCUGAACUUAAGCAUAUCAU